Molecule: ribosomal RNA, 537 nt
Filed under: uncultured bacterium
Lineage: Bacteria
Description: bacterial SSU rRNA
Rfam family: Bacterial small subunit ribosomal RNA
Source: RNAcentral
AAUAGAUACCCUGGUAGUCCACGCCGUAAACGGUGGGCACUAGAUGUGGGGGUUGUCAUGACCUCCGUGCCGCCGCUAACGCAUUAAGUAUUCCGCCUGGGGAGUACGGUCGCAAGAUUAAAACUCAAAGGAAUUGACGGGGGCCCGCACAAGCAGCGGAGCAUGUGGUUUAAUUCGAAGCAACGCGAAGAACCUUACCUAGACUUGACAUCUCCUGAAUUACUCUGUAAUGGAGGAAGCCCUUCGGGGCAGGAAGACAGGUGGUGCAUGGUUGUCGUCAGCUCGUGUCGUGAGAUGUUGGGUUAAGUCCCGCAACGAGCGCAACCCUUAUUGUUAGUUGCUACCAUUUAGUUGAGCACUCUAGCGAGACUGCCCGGGUUAACCGGGAGGAAGGUGGGGAUGACGUCAAAUCAUCAUGCCCCUUAUGUCUAGGGCUACACACGUGCUACAAUGGCUGGUACAGAGAGAUGCAAUACCGCGAGGUGGAGCCAAACUUCAAAACCAGUCUCAGUUCGGAUUGUAGGCUGAAACUCGCUA